UUAGACGAAUCAUCUGGAAAGAUGAAUCAAAGAAGGUAAUAAUCCUGUAGUCGAAAAUGUUGUCUCUCUUGAGUGGAUCCUGAGUACGACGGAGCACGUGAAAUUCCGUCGGAAUCUGGGAGGACCAUCUCCUAAGGCUAAAUACUCUCUAGUGACCGAUAGUGAACCAGUACCGUGAGGGAAAGGUGAAAAGCACCCCGGAAGGGGAGUGAAAUAGAACCUGAAACCGUGUGCUUACAAGUAGUCAGAGCCCGUUAAUGGGUGAUGGCGUGCCUUUUGUAGAAUGAACCGGCGAGUUACGAUUUGAUGCAAGGUUAAGCAGUAAAUGUGGAGCCGUAGCGAAAGCGAGUCUGAAUAGGGCGUUUAGUAUUUGGUCGUAGACCCGAAACCAGGUGAUCUACCCUUGGUCAGGUUGAAGUUCAGGUAACACUGAAUGGAGGACCGAACCGACUUACGUUGAAAAGUGAGCGGAUGAACUGAGGGUAGCGGAGAAAUUCCAAUCGAACCUGGAGAUAGCUGGUUCUCUCCGAAAUAGCUUUAGGGCUAGCCUCAAGUGAUGAUUAUUGGAGGUAGAGCACUGUUUGGACGAGGGGCCCCUCUCGGGUUACCGAAUUCAGACAAACUCCGAAUGCCAAUUAAUUUAACUUGGGAGUCAGAACAUGGGUGAUAAGGUCCGUGUUCGAAAGGGAAACAGCCCAGACCACCAGCUAAGGUCCCAAAAUAUAUGUUAAGUGGAAAAGGAUGUGGCGUUGCCCAGACAACUAGGAUGUUGGCUUAGAAGCAGCCAUCAUUUAAAGAGUGCGUAAUAGCUCACUAGUCGAGUGACACUGCGCCGA
This 836-nucleotide ribosomal RNA is filed under the name Staphylococcus aureus. RNAcentral's name for it is "partial 23S ribosomal RNA". It matches the Rfam family "Bacterial large subunit ribosomal RNA", at positions 329 to 1167 of the family's 2925-position model. The record is from RNAcentral. Lineage: Bacteria; Bacillati; Bacillota; Bacilli; Caryophanales; Staphylococcaceae.